This 270-nucleotide long non-coding RNA is filed under the name Elaeis guineensis (African oil palm). Its description in RNAcentral is "long non-coding RNA (EGUI_LNC001095)". The record is from RNAcentral. Lineage: Eukaryota; Viridiplantae; Streptophyta; Magnoliopsida; Arecales; Arecaceae.
AAACUUUGAUCGAAGAGUUCAAAUUUCAAAUUCAAAAUUUGAAAUUCAAAAUUUUGAGCCUGAUACCCAAAAUGUGUGGAACUCAUGAUCAGAGAAUCCUAAUUCUUAAUCAUAGAGUCCCAGAUAUAUAAGACUCAUAAUUAGCCAUCAGAUCAGAAAGGAACCUCUAAUGUGUGUGACCCCGCAGGUUCGAACCUAAGCCGAUAGCACAGGAACCAAUUCCUGUACUAAUCGAAGUGACCAUCUAGCAAUGGUACCCGAUGACCGGAU